GGAGCGAAAUUUAGUAGCGAAGCGUCUGAUGUCACACUGCCGAGAAAAGCUUCUAGUGAGUACUUAACUACCCGUACCGCAAACCGACACAGGUAGUCGAGGAGAGAAUCCUAAGGUGAGCGAGUGAACUCUCGUUAAGGAACUCGGCAAAAUGACCCCGUAACUUCGGGAGAAGGGGUGCUGAUCGCAAGAUCAGCCGCAGUGAAUAGGCCCAGGCGACUGUUUAUCAAAAACACAGGUCUCUGCAAAAUCGUAAGAUGACGUAUAGGGGCUGACGCCUGCCCGGUGCUGGAAGGUUAAAAGGAUGGGUUAGCUUCGGCGAAGCUCAGAAUUGAAGCCCCAGUAAACGGCGGCCGUAACUAUAACGGUCCUAAGGUAGCGAAAUUCCUUGUCGGGUAAGUUCCGACCCGCACGAAAGGCGUAACGAUCUGGGCACUGUCUCAACGAGAGACUCGGUGAAAUUAUAUUGUCCGUGAAGAUGCGGACUACCCGCGACAGGACGGAAAGACCCCAUGGAGCUUUACUGUAGCUUGAUAUUGAGUGUUUGUACAGCUUGUACAGGAUAGGUAGGAGCCAUAGAAACCGGAACGCUAGUUUCGGUGGAGGCGUUGGUGGGAUACUACCCUCGCUGUAUGACCACUCUAACCCGCACCACUAAUCGUGGUGGGAGACAGUGUCAGGUGGGCAGUUUGACUGGGGCGGUCGCCUCCUAAAAAGUAACGGAGGCGCCCAAAGGUUCCCUCAGAAUGGUUGGAAAUCAUUCGCAGAGUGUAAAGGCACAAGGGAGCUUGACUGCGAGACAGACAGGUCGAGCAGGGACGAAAGUCGGGCUUAGUGAUCCGGUGGUACCGUAUGGAAGGGCCAUCGCUCAACGGAUAAAAGCUACCCUGGGGAUAACAGGCUUAUCUCCCCCAAGAGUCCACAUCGACGGGGAGGUUUGGCACCUCGAUGUCGGCUCAUCGCAUCCUGGGGCUGUAGUCGGUCCCAAGGGUUGGGCUGUUCGCCCAUUAAAGCGGUACGCGAGCUGGGUUCAGAACGUCGUGAGACAGUUCGGUCCCUAUCCGUCGCGGGCGUAGGAAAUUUGAGAGGACCUGUCCUUAGUACGAGAGGACCGGGAUGGACAUACCUCUGGUGUACCAGUUGUGCCGCCAGGCGCAUCGCUGGGUAGCUACGUAUGGAUGUGAUAAACGCUGAAAGCAUCUAAGUGUGAAACACACCUCGAGAUGAGAUUUCCCAUUCCUUUAUGGAAGUAAGACCCCUGAAAGAUGAUCAGGUAGAUAGGUUAGAAGUGGCAGUGCGGUGACGCAUGAAGCGGACUAAUACUAAUCGGUCGAGGACUUAACCAA
RNAcentral lists this ribosomal RNA (1346 nucleotides) under Lactiplantibacillus plantarum. RNAcentral describes it as "partial 23S ribosomal RNA". It matches the Rfam family "Bacterial large subunit ribosomal RNA", at positions 1570 to 2925 of the family's 2925-position model. Lineage: Bacteria; Bacillati; Bacillota; Bacilli; Lactobacillales; Lactobacillaceae. The record is from RNAcentral.